AUUACGUGGAAUAAGUUCUGGAGUUAC
This 27-nucleotide small RNA is filed under the name Bombyx mori (domestic silkworm). RNAcentral's name for it is "ovarian small RNA-12674". Lineage: Eukaryota; Metazoa; Arthropoda; Insecta; Lepidoptera; Bombycidae. The record is from RNAcentral.